Molecule: ribosomal RNA, 253 nt
Filed under: uncultured bacterium
Lineage: Bacteria
Description: partial 16S ribosomal RNA
Rfam family: Bacterial small subunit ribosomal RNA
Source: RNAcentral
UACGGGGGGGGCAAGCGUUGUUCGGAAUUACUGGGCGUAAAGGGCUCGUAGGCGGCCAACUAAGUCAGACGUGAAAUCCCUCGGCUUAACCGGGGAACGGCAUCUGAUACUGGAUGGCUGGAGUUCGGGAGAGGGAUGCGGAAUUCCAGGUGUAGCGGUGAAAUGCGUAGAUAUCUGGAGGAACACCGGUGGCGAAGGCGGCAUCCUGGACCGACACUGACACUGAGGAGCGAAAGCCAGGGGAGCAAACGGG